Molecule: ribosomal RNA, 459 nt
Filed under: uncultured bacterium
Lineage: Bacteria
Description: partial 16S ribosomal RNA
Rfam family: Bacterial small subunit ribosomal RNA
Source: RNAcentral
CCUACGGGGGGCAGCAGUGAGGAAUAUUGGUCAAUGGGCGGGAGCCUGAACCAGCCAAGCCGCGUGAGGGAAGAAGGUACAGCGUAUCGUAAACCUCUUUUGUCAGGGAACAAAGGCGGGGACUAGUCCCCGGAUGAGGGUACCUGAAGAAAAAGCAUCGGCUAACUCCGUGCCAGCAGCCGCGGUAAUACGGAGGAUGCGAGCGUUAUCCGGAUUUAUUGGGUUUAAAGGGUGCGCAGGCGGCCUGUUAAGUCAGCGGGAAAAGCCCGGGGCUCAACCCCGGCGAGCCGGUGAAACUGGCGGGCUGGAGUUGGAGAGAAGUACGCGGAAUGCGCGGUGUAGCGGUGAAAUGCUUAGAUAUCGCGCAGAACCCCGAUUGCGAAGGCAGCGUACCGGCUCCACACUGACGCUGAGGCACGAAAGCGUGGGUAUCGAACAGGAUUAGAUACCCUAGUAGUC